UGGGGAAUUUUGGACAAUGGGCGAAAGCCUGAUCCAGCAAUGCCGCGUGUGUGAAGAAGGCCUUCGGGUUGUAAAGCACUUUUGUCCGGAAAGAAAUCCUUGGCUCUAAUACAGUCGGGGGAUGACGGUACCGGAAGAAUAAGCACCGGCUAACUACGUGCCAGCAGCCGCGGUAAUACGUAGGGUGCAAGCGUUAAUCGGAAUUACUGGGCGUAAAGCGUGCGCAGGCGGUUUGCUAAGACCGAUGUGAAAUCCCCGGGCUCAACCUGGGAACUGCAUUGGUGACUGGCAGGCUAGAGUAUGGCAGAGGGGGGUAGAAUUCCACGUGUAGCAGUGAAAUGCGUAGAGAUGUGGAGGAAUACCGAUGGCGAAGGCAGCCCCCUGGGCCAAUACUGACGCUCAUGCACGAAAGCGUGGGGAGCAAACAGGAUUAGUACCCUGGUAGUCCACGCCCUAAACGAUGUCACUAGUUGUUGGGGAUUCAUUUCCUUAGUAACGUAGCUAACGCGUGAAGUUGACCGCCUGGGGAGUACGGUCGCAAGAUUAAAACUCAAU
This 555-nucleotide ribosomal RNA is filed under the name uncultured bacterium. RNAcentral's name for it is "partial 16S ribosomal RNA". It matches the Rfam family "Bacterial small subunit ribosomal RNA", at positions 355 to 905 of the family's 1533-position model. The record is from RNAcentral.